Molecule: ribosomal RNA, 1054 nt
Filed under: Kocuria rosea subsp. polaris
Lineage: Bacteria; Bacillati; Actinomycetota; Actinomycetes; Micrococcales; Micrococcaceae
Description: bacterial SSU rRNA
Rfam family: Bacterial small subunit ribosomal RNA
Source: RNAcentral
CUACGGGAGGCAGCAGUGGGGAAUAUUGCCCAAUGGGCGGAAGCCUGAUGCAGCGACGCCGCGUGAGGGAUGACGGCCUUCGGGUUGUAAACCUCUUUCAGUAGGGAAGAAGCGAGAGUGACGGUACCUGCAGAAGAAGCGCCGGCUAACUACGUGCCAGCAGCCGCGGUAAUACGUAGGGCGCAAGCGUUGUCCGGAAUUAUUGGGCGUAAAGAGCUCGUAGGCGGUUUGUCGCGUCUGCUGUGAAAGCCCGGGGCUCAACCCCGGGUCUGCAGUGGGUACGGGCAGACUAGAGUGCAGUAGGGGAGACUGGAAUUCCUGGUGUAGCGGUGAAAUGCGCAGAUAUCAGGAGGAACACCGAUGGCGAAGGCAGGUCUCUGGGCUGUUACUGACGCUGAGGAGCGAAAGCAUGGGGAGCGAACAGGAUUAGAUACCCUGGUAGUCCAUGCCGUAAACGUUGGGCACUAGGUGUGGGGGACAUUCCACGUUUUCCGCGCCGUAGCUAACGCAUUAAGUGCCCCGCCUGGGGAGUACGGCCGCAAGGCUAAAACUCAAAGGAAUUGACGGGGGCCCGCACAAGCGGCGGAGCAUGCGGAUUAAUUCGAUGCAACGCGAAGAACCUUACCAAGGCUUGACAUUCACCGGACCGCCCCAGAGAUGGGGUUUCCCUUCGGGGCUGGUGGACAGGUGGUGCAUGGUUGUCGUCAGCUCGUGUCGUGAGAUGUUGGGUUAAGUCCCGCAACGAGCGCAACCCUCGUUCUAUGUUGCCAGCACGUGAUGGUGGGGACUCAUAGGAGACUGCCGGGGUCAACUCGGAGGAAGGUGGGGAUGACGUCAAAUCAUCAUGCCCCUUAUGUCUUGGGCUUCACGCAUGCUACAAUGGCCGGUACAAAGGGUUGCGAUACUGUGAGGUGGAGCUAAUCCCAAAAAGCCGGUCUCAGUUCGGAUUGAGGUCUGCAACUCGACCUCAUGAAGUCGGAGUCGCUAGUAAUCGCAGAUCAGCAACGCUGCGGUGAAUACGUUCCCGGGCCUUGUACACACCGCCCGUCAAGUC